RNAcentral lists this ribosomal RNA (467 nucleotides) under uncultured bacterium. RNAcentral's name for it is "partial 16S ribosomal RNA". It matches the Rfam family "Bacterial small subunit ribosomal RNA", at positions 29 to 507 of the family's 1533-position model. The record is from RNAcentral.
ACGAACGCUGGCGGCGUGCUUAACACAUGCAAGUCGAACGGAAAGGCCCUGCUUUUGUGGGGUGCUCGAGUGGCGUACGGGUGAGUAACACGUGAGUAACCUGCCCUUGACUUUGGGAUAACUUCAGGAAACUGGGGCUAAUACCGGAUAGGAGCUCCUGCUGCAUGGUGGGGGUUGGAAAGUUUCGGCGGUUGGGGAUGGACUCGCGGCUUAUCAGCUUGUUGGUGGGGUAGUGGCUUACCAAGGCUUUGACGGGUAGCCGGCCUGAGAGGGUGACCGGCCACAUUGGGACUGAGAUACGGCCCAGACUCCUACGGGAGGCAGCAGUGGGGAAUAUUGCACAAUGGGCGGAAGCCUGAUGCAGCAACGCCGCGUGCGGGAUGACGGCCUUCGGGUUGUAAACCGCUUUCGCCUGUGACGAAGCGUGAGUGACGGUAAUGGGUAAAGAAGCACCGGCUAACUACGUG